AGAGUUUGAUCCUGGCUCAGGAUGAACGCUGGCGGCGUGCUUAACACAUGCAAGUCGAACGAACCUUCGGGUUAGUGGCGGACGGGUGAGUAACGCGUGAGAAUCUGCCCUCAGGAGGGGGAUAACAGCUGGAAACGGCUGCUAAUACCCCAUAUGCCGCGAGGUGAAAUGAAUUUCGCCUGAGGAUGAGCUCGCGUCUGAUUAGCUAGUUGGUGUAGGUAAUGGCUCACCAAGGCAUCGAUCAGUAGCUGGUCUGAGAGGAUGAUCAGCCACACUGGGACUGAGACACGGCCCAGACUCCUACGGGAGGCAGCAGUGGGGAAUUUUCCGCAAUGGGCGAAAGCCUGACGGAGCAACGCCGCGUGAGGGAUGAAGGCCUCUGGGCUGUAAACCUCUUUUAUCAAGGAAGAAGAUCUGACGGUACUUGAUGAAUAAGCCACGGCUAAUUCCGUGCCAGCAGCCGCGGUAAUACGGGAGUGGCAAGCGUUAUCCGGAAUUAUUGGGCGUAAAGCGUCCGCAGGCGGCCCUUCAAGUCUGCUGUUAAAAAGUGGAGCUUAACUCCAUCAUGGCAGUGGAAACUGAGGGGCUUGAGUGUGGUAGGGGCAGAGGGAAUUCCCGGUGUAGCGGUGAAAUGCGUAGAUAUCGGGAAGAACACCAGUGGCGAAGGCGCUCUGCUGGGCCAUCACUGACGCUCAUGGACGAAAGCCAGGGGAGCGAAAGGGAUUAGAUACCCCUGUAGUCCUGGCCGUAAACGAUGAACACUAGGUGUCGGGGGAAUCGACCCCCUCGGUGUCGUAGCCAACGCGUUAAGUGUUCCGCCUGGGGAGUACGCACGCAAGUGUGAAACUCAAAGGAAUUGACGGGGGCCCGCACAAGCGGUGGAGUAUGUGGUUUAAUUCGAUGCAACGCGAAGAACCUUACAAGGGUUUGACAUCCUGCGAAUCUCUUGGAAACGAGAGAGUGCCUUCGGGAGCGCAGUGACAGGUGGUGCAUGGCUGUCGUCAGCUCGUGUCGUGAGAUGUUGGGUUAAGUCCCGCAACGAGCGCAACCCACGUCUUUAGUUGCCAGCAUUUAGUUGGGCACUCUAGAGAGACCGCCGGUGAUAAACCGGAGGAAGGUGUGGAUGACGUCAAGUCAUCAUGCCCCUUACAUCCUGGGCUACACACGUACUACAAUGCUACGGACAAAGGGCAGCAAGUUCGCGAGGACAAGCAAAUCCCAUAAACCGUGGCUCAGUUCAGAUCGUAGGCUGCAACUCGCCUACGUGAAGGAGGAAUCGCUAGUAAUCGCAGGUCAGCAUACUGCGGUGAAUACGUUCCCGGGCCUUGUACACACCGCCCGUCACACCAUGGAAGUUGGCCACGCCCGAAGCCGUUACUCCAACCCUUGUGGAGGAGGACGUCGAAGGUGGGGCUGAUGACUGGGGUGAAGUCGUAACAAGGUAACC
RNAcentral lists this ribosomal RNA (1447 nucleotides) under uncultured bacterium. RNAcentral describes it as "bacterial SSU rRNA". It matches the Rfam family "Bacterial small subunit ribosomal RNA". The record is from RNAcentral.